GACACCUGAGGAGACAGGGUUUGCUGUGGUGGCCAGGCAGCAGCCGGGGGGCCUGGGUUUUUGUACACUGCCUAGCGGGGCCCGUGGCAACGUGACUACUUUGACUACUGGGGCCAGGGGACCCUGGUCACCGUCUCCUCAGCGAGCGCAUCGGCCCCAGACCUCUUCCCUCUCGUGUCCUGUGAGAGCUACCCGUCCGAGGCGAACUUCAUGGCCGUGGGCUGCCUGGCCCACAAUUUCCUGCCCGACAACGUCAAAUUCUCCUGGGACUACCAGAACACCAGCAAGAUCUCCACCCAGGCCAUCAAAAGUUUCCCAUCAGUCCUGAGAGAGGGCAAGUAUGUGGCCACCUCUCAGGUGUUCCUGCCAUCCGCCGAGGUCCUCGAGGGCACGGAUCAGUACGUGAUGUGCAAUGUCAAGCACGACAACAUCAACAGGAAUGUGAAAGUACCCAUCCCAGUGACGGAAUAUGUGUCCCCCCAUGUGAGCAUCUUCGUCCCGUCCCGCGACUCCUUCUCCAGCAACAGCCCACGCACAUCCAAGCUCAUCUGCCAGGCCACCGGCUUCAGCCCCAGGCAGAUCUCCGUGUCCUGGUUCCAGGACGGAAAGAAGGUGGAGUCUGGCGUCACCACAGACAAGGUGGAGGCCGAGGCCAAAGGGCCCGGACCCCUGACAUUCAAGGUCACCAGCAGUCUGACCAUCACCGAAAGCAACUGGCUUAGCCAGAACAUGUUCACUUGCCACGUGGAGCACAACGACCUGAGCUUCGAGAAGAACGUGUCCUCCACAUGCAGCUCCAGUACCUCCAGUGGCAUCACUGUCUUCACCAUCCCCCCGUCCUUCUCUGACAUCUUCCUGACCAAGAUGGCCAAGCUGUCCUGCCUGGUCACAAACCUGGCCACCUACGACAGCCUGACCAUCUCCUGGACCCGCCAGAAUGGUGAGGUUCUGAAAACCCACGUCAGCAUUACCGAGAGCCACCCCAACGCCACCUUCAGUGCCACCGGAGACACCACCGUGUGCGUGGAGGACUGGGACUCGGGUGACACGUUCACCUGCACAGUGACCCACACGGACCUGCCCUCACCACUGAAGGACACCAUCUCCAAGCCCAAAGAUGUCGUCAAGCACAUGCCCUCCGUGUACGUGAUGCCACCAACCCGGGAGCAGCUGAGCCUGCGGGAGUCGGCCUCCAUCACCUGCCUGGUGAAGGGAUUCUCACCCCCUGAUGUGUUGGUGCAAUGGAUGCAGCGGGGGCAGCCUUUGUCCCCUGACACGUACGUCACCAGCGCCCCGAUGCCCGAGCCCCAGACCCCGGACUCCUACUUCGUCCACAGCAUCCUGACCGUGAGUGAGGAGAACUGGAGCGCUGGGGAGCCCUACACCUGCGUCGUGGUCCAUGAGGCCCUGCCCCACACGGUGACCGAGAGGACCGUGGACAAGUCCACCGAGGGGGAGGUGAGCGCCGAGGAGGAGGGCUUCGAAAACCUGAAUACCAUGGCCUCCACCUUCAUCGUGCUCUUCCUCCUCAGUCUCUUCUACAGCACGACGGUCACCCUGUUCAAGGUGAAGUGACCCACCGAGACGAACGUGGAUACCAAGGAGAUGGAACCAAGAGGGGCGCCUGCCGCCUUGAGCCCGGGGCCCUGGCAUGCAUGGCGGGUCCACUUGUCCUCAAACCUCCCCGUGCUGCCCUGCGGCUUCCGCUCUAAGAAGCAGGCUUCUGUGCACACGGCCCGCAGCCAUGGACUCUGCCCCACACCGCCUUGCAACGUUCACGCUUGUCACCCUGAAAUAAACAUGUAUAUUUUAUUUUGCGAAA
Rhinolophus ferrumequinum (greater horseshoe bat) is the source of this 1822-nucleotide non-coding RNA. NCBI's taxonomy places the organism in Eukaryota, Metazoa, Chordata, Mammalia, Chiroptera, Rhinolophidae. The record is from the annotation of a RefSeq genome assembly.